Molecule: long non-coding RNA, 1600 nt
Filed under: Ficedula albicollis (Collared flycatcher)
Lineage: Eukaryota; Metazoa; Chordata; Aves; Passeriformes; Muscicapidae
Description: lncRNA (ENSFALG00000028759.1)
Source: RNAcentral
GAGAGAAAGAAGUGGAGUAUUUUUUUAAGGGGCUCUUGUGGCUGGGGAAGUUCCAGUCAGUCCAAAUUAGAUGAGUUUCUAGGUGUCUGCCUGGGUAUCCACCAGGAAAAUGCUGUUUCUGCCUUUAGACCCUUCCCUUCCAUCCAUCUCUGCACUCCUGGUGGUCUGUCCUCACCCACUCUCUGUGAUUUUCCUUCUCCCAGGCCUCCUCUUCCCAAGAUUCCUGAUCCUUUCUCUGCACUACUUUGCUCACCACUCCCUCCCUGCCACCCCCAGGAGGGAAACUCCUCUGCUCUGAAAGCAGGAACUGGCACUGGAGGCAAGCAGCACUGAGCAACCCAAGGGAUGUGGGAGAGGGCCAGCUGGAGGCUGCCAUGGCAACAGCUGGAUCUCCUUCAUCCCUCUCACCCUGCUUCCCUGCUGAUUACACUGAAACAACAGAAAAAAUAACAGUUGCUGGGAAUCAAAGAACCCUCUUCCUCCACGAAAUCACCUGGCCUCUUUCCACGCUUCCCAAAGCAAAUCUCUGGCAUCCUUGCUGCUGGUACAACAAUCUUGUGACUCUUCCUUGUACAUGGCAAGCAAAAAAGGGUUUGGUUUGCUUGCCCUUGAUGGGAAGACCUUUCUGUGCGCUUCUCCUGUGAUCUUUGAGCUCAGUGACAGAGCUGGGGCCAAAAAAAUAUCUCUGGAGGUGACUAUGACUCUUUGGGGGCUGUUCCAUGAGAAGAAUCCCCUGGGAGGAUCCAGGGUUUGGACCCAGAAGAGGUUUUGGUGGUGCUGCUUCUCCUGUGACAGCUCAGAGGAGAAGCAAGCCCAGCUCUUUGUCACAGGUCAUCAAUUCUCAGAACCUUACCUGUGCCCACAGACAUGUUCAAAUCUACCUGGUAUCACCCAGCACAGGGAUGUUGUGAGGUUUCUCUAAUGUUUAUCAAGUGUUUGAAGAAGAUCUUAUGAAGGUGGAGUGCAGUACCAGGAGCUCCUAACAGUCUUGACGAAAUCCUUCCUUGGAGCAACGUAGGAAAAUUCAAAUUAGAGCCAUGGCAAACAUUUUUAACAGCAAAAAUUAAUUAACUGCUACAGCAGCUUCCCAAGAGAAGUGGUAGAUUUUCCAUUGCUCAAAAUGUCUGUCUGAGCUGCCUGUGGUUUGAAAGACAGGUCCUAGCCCAGCUUCAAGUUAUUUAGCUCCAUGCAGGAGCCACUGGAUGAUGCAGACUAUAGAUGUGAUGGCCCUGUGGACAUAUAAAAGUCUUAUCAUUGUAUUUAUUUGACUUCACUCUUUUUCCCCUUAUUUUACCUGCUGUUAUACCAACAGUGCACAAUCCUGUUUCAAUUUACACAUAAACCUCAGACAAGAAACAGAGAAGUGGUUUGGAAAACCAGGCUCCUUCGCAUGUUUAUGAAGUUGGAAAGAACACAUCAAAAUUGGUUUGAUUCCACCUUCCACUUCUGCCUCCCUGUGACAUCUGUGGGGAAUUUUGUACAGAAAAUAUGGCUUUGGCCAUGGAUAGCAUGCAAGGAUCAACAGUUCCAGGUGUUUGGGCAUGUUUGGCCGUGAUGUCCUUGUGCAGGAAGUCAAUGGACCUGGUGACAAGAGUGUCUU